RNAcentral lists this ribosomal RNA (395 nucleotides) under uncultured bacterium. Its description in RNAcentral is "partial 16S ribosomal RNA". It matches the Rfam family "Bacterial small subunit ribosomal RNA", at positions 355 to 762 of the family's 1533-position model. The record is from RNAcentral.
UGGGGAAUAUUGCACAAUGGGCGAAAGCCUGAUGCAGCAACGCCGCGUGCGGGAUGACGGCCUUCGGGUUGUAAACCGCUUUCAGCAGGGACGAAGGUUUUCUGACGGUACCUGCAGAAGAAGCACCGGCUAACUACGUGCCAGCAGCCGCGGUGAUACGUAGGGUGCGAGCGUUGUCCGGAAUUAUUGGGCGUAAAGAGCUUGUAGGCGGUCCGUUGCGUCGGAAGUGAAAACUCAGGGCUUAACCCUGAGCCUGCUUUCGAUACGGGCGGACUUGAGGGAUGUAGGGGAGAACGGAAUUCCUGGUGGAGCGGUGGAAUGCGCAGAUAUCAGGAGGAACACCAGUGGCGAAGGCGGUUCUCUGGACAUUUCCUGACGCUGAGAAGCGAAAGCGU